UUACAUGUGAAUGACUCUAAGCGUGUGAGCUUUAUGGACUUAAAGCCCUAGCACUAUCCACCAUCUAGCAAGGGUGUAAAAAUGGUUUAUUAUAUGUUCAGGUCAUUUCCAGAAAAAUGGCCAAGUCCUUGAGUAAGUCCAUGAAGGUUUUAACUAAAGUCCCUUAGAUGAUAAAUUAGAAGACUUUUUGGGGGGCUAGCAAGGUGGCUCAACAGGUAAAAUGUUUGUCAUUAAGCCAAGUGACCUGAGUUUGAUCCACAAAAUCCAUAUGGUGGAGAGAACCGAUACCCCAAAAUUUUCCUCUGAUCUCUUUAUGCAAGCUGUAACAUACAGUUAAAAAAGAAGAACAUCUUUCAUGUGUAUGUGGUUAUAUGUAUAUGAUUGUAUGGAUAUAUGUGCAUGUGUACAUUUGUAUUUAGGCCAGAGGUCAACAUCAGAUAUCUUCUUCAACCACACUCCAACUUUAUCUUUAUUUUGAGUCUCUUACUGAAUUUGGUGCUUACUGAUUUGGAGGAGGUUUCAAAAUGCUCAGAUGAGAAAAUAAGCACAAAAAUUCCACUCAGGGAACUAAGACCAUCACUGCUUAGCUCCACAUCAGGACAGCUUCACGUAACAGUACUGAUAACCCCGAGAUGUCAGCUGUCUCCCAAAUGGCAGCAAGGCCAGGCAGUCUUAAGAAUCUGCAAAUGUGAGGUUGGGGAUUUAGCUCAAUGGUAGAGUGCUUGCCUAGGAAGCACAAGGCCCUGGGUUCGGUCCCCAGCUCCGGAAAAAAAGAAAAAAAAAAAAAAAAAA
This 792-nucleotide long non-coding RNA is filed under the name Rattus norvegicus (Norway rat). Its description in RNAcentral is "long non-coding RNA NONRATT020736". The stretch from base 697 to 765 matches the Rfam family "tRNA". Lineage: Eukaryota; Metazoa; Chordata; Mammalia; Rodentia; Muridae. The record is from RNAcentral.